RNAcentral lists this ribosomal RNA (122 nucleotides) under Myxotrichaceae sp. Its description in RNAcentral is "partial small subunit ribosomal RNA". It matches the Rfam family "Eukaryotic small subunit ribosomal RNA", at positions 1660 to 1779 of the family's 1831-position model. The record is from RNAcentral. Lineage: Eukaryota; Fungi; Ascomycota; Leotiomycetes; Myxotrichaceae.
UUGUACACACCGCCCGUCGCUACUACCGAUUGAAUGGCUCAGUGAGGCUUUCGGACUGGCCUAGAGAGAGUGGCAACACUUACUCAGGGCCGGAAAGUUGUCCAAACUCGGUCAUUUAGAGG